Molecule: unclassified non-coding RNA, 1741 nt
Filed under: Pectinophora gossypiella (pink bollworm)
Lineage: Eukaryota; Metazoa; Arthropoda; Insecta; Lepidoptera; Gelechiidae
Description: alpha-sarcoglycan
Source: RNAcentral
UAGUUAUAAUUUCACUUUUUAAACUGUCAGUUUCACUGAAUUUAACUUUUUCUUCAUUCUUAAUCAAGUUUUCUUCUGUAUUGCCCUCAUCAGGAGGCAUUUUGGAAGUUUGCUUUUUUGCCAAUUAGAUAAUCACUACGAAAAAUUGAGCAUUGAGGUAGGUUGCACUUUUAGUUAUAGCUGCAUAUCAACAAUUUGUAUUCAUUAUCCUACUCAAAGGACAAUUAAUUAGGCUUUUGUAAAUAAAAAGUAAUUUGCGGUUUGUUUUUGUAGUCUUUAGUCUAAUUAUUUGCUAAUUAUCCAUUGUUUUGUUAUUAACUUUUGUUUAUUUUUGGAAAUGACAUAACUUUUAGUGUUACUACAAAUAAAUAAAAAUCAACUUUUAGUUCUCGAUUUUUAAAAACCGAUAUUAUUUACUGUGCUAUGUGAGAGACGUUAUGAUUUUGUAUAUUGAUUUAUUUGACUGACUUGCAGAAAAUUAGUAGUUCUUAAUUCAAAACAAAACUUAACUUUGAAGGCAACUUUGACCGAAAUCAUUUCUCUCAAAUUUCUCUCGCAAAGACCAAGCCAAGCAAGUAUUCAUUCUCUCGUUGUUGAUUGGUGGAAACAAAUACCCCUCGAUUCUUCCAUUCGUUCAUCCAUCCAUUGAAUCCAUUCAUUCUCCAUCCAUGCACAGAUUCAAAUCGUUCAAUUAAUUUGUUUUGAUUAUCCCGCAGACACGGUGGUCGUAUUAUGUUUUUAGUUUUUGCACCAUAAAUCCAAAAAGAAAACUUAUUGUUACGUAAAUAUUUUUGCAAACACGAGUGUGAAAAUAAUCUUUUAUUUCGUUACUCUUGACUUUAUAGUGAGUGGGAUACUGCUGACAUGCCGUUUACAAUGUAAUCUCUUGGCUAAUACAAAUAAAUAUCGUAUACACUUUAUGCUGAUAACAGUGAUAUACAUUAUGAGUUAUGACUCAUAUACCACAUUGGGUUAAUGGCAUGCACACUCUGAACAACUGAAUAUGCAGAAGUUCGUCGUUGCGCAAAACAAGAAAGAAACGAAACUGUAUUUCCAAACCUGUUUUGAGCAAAAAUUUAUGAUAGUACCUACCAUUUAUCGGCGUGGAAUGUGAAAAAUAAUAUAAUGUAAAGUGCCAGUGUCCUUAAAAAAUGUCACUGGCAUACAAUUAAGCCAGAAAGGCAACUAUAAGCUAAAAAAACUUCAUAGAAAAUCGCUCAGUAAAAGUAUAAAGACAAUAAAACAGAACCAUGACAGAAGGAGGGACGAUUCCACUUCAAACACCACCGCCGAAUUAUAACGAGGCUAUCUUCGAUAAAGAACCAAACCCGCCUUCAUAUAGUGCCGUAGUCACUAGCCAACCCUCUAUCGAUGCCGGCACAAAUAUACCAGAAAGAACCGUGCCACAAACACAAACAUACGAAGAACAGGAAAACUGUUGUCUCUCGUGCCUAGUCUGUUUAUUUGCACGCCCGAUAAAUGCCAUAUGUGACUGCAUAUCUCAAUGUUGGAAUUGCUGUUGUGAUGAUGGAGAUUGUGGCAAUUCCAACUACAGAAGAAGGCAGUAUAGCACUCGCAACAACAGUGACGUGAAUGACGAUCAGUACUACAAUGAUACAGGCUCAGGGGGAGAUUUUUGCUGGUUGUGUGUCGAUACUGGGGAUAACGGGGGGCAAGAUGGCGAUUUUUGGGGAGGAGGAGGCGGGGAUGACGGAAGGCAAGAUGGGGAUUGUUGGGGAGG